Molecule: ribosomal RNA, 245 nt
Filed under: uncultured Saccharopolyspora sp.
Lineage: Bacteria; Bacillati; Actinomycetota; Actinomycetes; Pseudonocardiales; Pseudonocardiaceae
Description: partial 16S ribosomal RNA
Rfam family: Bacterial small subunit ribosomal RNA
Source: RNAcentral
UACGUAGGGGGCAAGCGUUGUCCGGAUUUAUUGGGCGUAAAGAGCGUGUAGGCGGCCAGGUAGGUCCGUUGUGAAAACUGGAGGCUUAACCUCCAGCUGUCGAUGGAAACCAUCUGGCUAGAGUCCGGAAGAGGAGAGUGGAAUUCCUGGUGUAGCGGUGAAAUGCGCAGAUAUCAGGAAGAACACCCGUGGCGAAGGCGGCUCUCUGGGACGGUACUGACGCUGAGACGCGAAAGCGUGGGGAG